CUUAAAAUGAAUUGACGGGGAGCACCACAACGGGUGGAGCCUGCGGUUAAUUGGACUCAACGCCGGGCAGCUCACCGGAUAAGACAGCUGGAUGAUAGCCGGGCUGAAGACUCUGCUUGACUAGCUGAGAGGAGGUGCAUGGCCGUCGUCAGUUCGUACUGUGAAGCAUCCUGUUAAGUCAGGCAACGAGCGAGACCCACGCCCACAGUUGCCAGCGUACUCUCUGGAGUGACGGGUACACUGUGGGACCGCCGCUGCUAAAGCGGAGGAAGGAAUGGGCAACGGUAGGUCAGUAUGCCCCGAAUAUCCCGGGCUACACGCGAGCUACAAUGGUUGGUACAAUGGGUAUCUACCCCGAAAGGGGACGGGAAUCUCCUAAAACCAAUCUUAGUUCGGAUUGAGGGCUGCAACUCGCCCUCAUGAAGCUGGAAUCCGUAGUAAUCGCGUUUCAACAGAACGCGGUGAAUACGUCCCUGCUCCUU
RNAcentral lists this ribosomal RNA (482 nucleotides) under uncultured Methanolinea sp. RNAcentral describes it as "bacterial SSU rRNA". It matches the Rfam family "Archaeal small subunit ribosomal RNA", at positions 858 to 1338 of the family's 1478-position model. The record is from RNAcentral. Lineage: Archaea; Methanobacteriati; Methanobacteriota; Methanomicrobia; Methanomicrobiales; Methanoregulaceae.